UACGUAGGGGGCAAGCGUUAUCCGGAUUUACUGGGUGUAAAGGGAGCGUAGACGGCAUGGCAAGUCUGAUGUGAAAACCCGGGGCUCAACCGCGGGACUGCAUUGGAAACUGUCGGGCUAGAGUGUCGGAGAGGCAAGUGGAAUUCCUAGUGUAGCGGUGAAAUGCGUAGAUAUUAGGAGGAACACCAGUGGCGAAGGCGGCUUGCUGGACGAUGACUGACGUUGAGGCUCGAAAGCGUGGGGAGCAAACAGG
This 253-nucleotide ribosomal RNA is filed under the name uncultured bacterium. Its description in RNAcentral is "partial 16S ribosomal RNA". It matches the Rfam family "Bacterial small subunit ribosomal RNA", at positions 524 to 776 of the family's 1533-position model. The record is from RNAcentral.